Molecule: long non-coding RNA, 209 nt
Filed under: Lathyrus oleraceus (garden pea)
Lineage: Eukaryota; Viridiplantae; Streptophyta; Magnoliopsida; Fabales; Fabaceae
Description: Pisum sativum (pea) long non-coding RNA (PSAT_LNC036613)
Source: RNAcentral
UUCAUCAAUUUGCUGUCAAACACCAAAACCUAGCCUGGCCCUGCGUUGACACAACUUCCACCCUCAUUUUCCUGUCAUAAACAGCAGACUAAACAUUUGUCCUAUCCUUUCUCUCAAGCCUCAUUCCUUGCCUUUUUCAAGAAACAGUCAGCACACCUCUAAAAAGGAUGAAACCUGGCCUGGCUUGACAACAUUCACAUCAUCUUGAA